CGCCCUGCAAAAGAGAAAGCCGCAGGGAGGAACGAAGGUGAGGCUUCCAAUCCCAUCUGAACGCCUCUCCUGUCGUACACCCCUCCAACCAAUGAGUGGAACUCCAAGCCCCCACCUGUUCAUGUUGACGGGUGGUAGGGCAAUGAUGCGGGGCCUCGAGGUGAGGACCACCUCUCCGCGGCUUGCCUCCACCAGGAUGUUCUGGAUCAUGUUCUGCAGUAUCGCUUCCUGCAGCUGUGUGCAAGUUACUGUGCAAGAGGGUGCUGGGUGCUGCACGGAUGCCCAGUGAAACCCCUUCCCCCAGCGGAAACACUACGGGGCAUCUUGCUGCAAUUUCACAGAUGCUAGCUGUGUGGCUGAGAUUCAAAGGUCCCAGGAGAAAGUGGCAGAAGAAAGGACACAUCAGAAGUGGUAAUUGGCCUCUGGUCCUAACCGUCCACUGAAGAAGAGACUUUAAAGAUGACCGCCCCUCUCCUGAUCCUGCUGCCAUUGCCACUGCAGGGCCUGCUGGGACUUAGACAUCGGUGUGGCAGCCUUCAUCACUGACCAGGGAGAGAAGUCGUGGGGCUUCAGAAGCUUUGGCUGAUGCAGCUGGAGAGGUGGCCAGAGAAUGAAGGCGCACAGAGCUGAGGGUACCUGAUGAUGGAGGAGAGGCAGUCAACCACAAUCUGCUUCUUCUGCCUCGAGCCAGGGCUCACUUUGUCCGGGGGUUCUUCCUCAAAGGCUUUUGUCUCUUCCCUGAAGGACUUCUUCUUUGGCAGCUCCCUGGAGUAGACCGUGAUAUUCUGAAUGAACUUGGAGUGCUGAUAUGCUGUGACAGGGGCGUACAAGCCAUGACGGCAGCUGCCCAGUCAUGAGGACAUAAAAUAUUCUGGGCACAUUCCCAGUCUUAAUAAAAUGUAGUUUCUGUACUCAGAGAGCCACACCCAACCCUUAGGUUAGAACAGGACCCACAGGCUCCAGGUUGGCCAAAGAAGAGAGUGGGAAGCCUUGGUGGCUUCCUCAGGGGCCUCUCUAUCAACUCCCUUCAAAAGGACAUAAACAAUAAUGGUGAUAUCUCGGGCCCAUAGUGCCCAAUGACUCCUCAUCCACCCUGUUCUUGCUUCAGUCCUUCCUAAAGUGUGGAUACCACUGUUGUACAAAGGGGGAGAGGAUUAAGACUAGAGGAAGGUGGCCCUUCCCCAGGGCUUCACCGGUGCA
Long non-coding RNA from Meriones unguiculatus (Mongolian gerbil), 1200 nucleotides. RefSeq lists it as uncharacterized. Lineage: Eukaryota; Metazoa; Chordata; Mammalia; Rodentia; Muridae. The record is from RefSeq and is a predicted model, not a curated record. The transcript is spliced from 5 exons.